Molecule: transfer RNA, 74 nt
Filed under: Clostridiales bacterium
Lineage: Bacteria; Bacillati; Bacillota; Clostridia; Eubacteriales
Description: tRNA-Met
Rfam family: tRNA
About the family: Transfer RNA (tRNA) molecules are approximately 80 nucleotides in length. Their secondary structure includes four short double-helical elements and three loops (D, anti-codon, and T loops). Further hydrogen bonds mediate the characteristic L-shaped molecular structure. tRNAs have two regions of fundamental functional importance: the anti-codon, which is responsible for specific mRNA codon recognition, and the 3' end, to which the tRNAs corresponding amino acid is attached (by aminoacyl-tRNA synthetases). tRNAs cope with the degeneracy of the genetic code in two manners: having more than one tRNA (with a specific anti-codon) for a particular amino acid; and 'wobble' base-pairing, i.e. permitting non-standard base-pairing at the 3rd anti-codon position.
Source: RNAcentral
GGCGAAGUAGCUCAGUUGGCAAGAGCACGCGGUUCAUACCCGCGGUGUCGGCGGUUCAAGUCCGUCCUUCGCUA